RNAcentral lists this long non-coding RNA (332 nucleotides) under Elaeis guineensis (African oil palm). RNAcentral's name for it is "long non-coding RNA (EGUI_LNC041403)". Lineage: Eukaryota; Viridiplantae; Streptophyta; Magnoliopsida; Arecales; Arecaceae. The record is from RNAcentral.
UCUCAGUUCUUUUUUCAGCUUUACUUGGACACACAAUCCAAAUCCAAUAUUUCUAGCCCUGCUUUAUUUUGAUUCCUAUGAUACAUGACCACCUAUAUCAAUUGACGGGUUACAAAUGAAUCCACAAAAAAUAAGAAGAUUGGACAAUUUUUGACAAAAUAGGAAUAUGGAUUAAGACUCUCGACUCAAUUAAAAUGACGCUCAUUUGUAAGAAACUGACUCCAUCAAUUGGCCCUCACCAAUGGUUAACAUGGAACAAACCGUGUUAUCAAUUGUAGGGCCAGUCGCGAGCACACGUUUAAGCAAUCUCCUACAAUUUUUUCUUUAGGAUU